AUGCGCAGAGGCUGCAGAGUCUGUCGCAUGUUUCCGAUGAUGUCACCGCACAAACGCACAAAAGCCCAGUGGGAAAGUGUCAUGAAAUGCUCUGCAAUUAAGAGAAAGACAUCUCAGCUUCCGGAUGAGCUUCGGCAGCUACGGAAGCAGCCGGACAUCCAUCAGGGGGCCGAAGCACAGCUCCGGUCGAUCGGGGGGGAUUUUCUUCCUCGUUGCCCUCAAGCGGUCAGAGAGUAAAGAAGAAGUUAUUCCUUCUGCUGUCUGAGCAAAGAGGACCAGCACUGAGGCGUCCACAUUUCAAUUUGUUCAUCUCCUGUUUUUGGAGUCAAAACGGGAACGCCGGAUCCGGCCCAGAGAACAUAAGUACAAGCUAAAACUUCCACCAAGGAAGGCCUCAUCCGGGGGUUUUAAUGCCAUUUCAGAACAAGUUCUGGUUUUACAGAACAACAAAUCAGUGACGAUGACUGCUGGGAUCAGCAAAAGCCCGUGAAGAAGAAUUCCAGCUGGUUGGGACAUCGGAGCUUCUGGUUUUCUUCUUCUUCUUCUUCUUCUUCUUCUUCUUCUUCUUCUUCUUCUUCUCCCUGCGUCUCUGUGUGCUUGACCAGCAUUUCCCUGCCCUCCUUUUCAGUUCUCUGUCCAGGGACAGAAUUAAAGGCAGAUACUGCAGGCGGACGUUAGAAAUGAAGUCACUUGCUUUGAGCUUUCACCCACGGAUGACCUCGUGAAGUUAAAAUAACCCUCCGAUGAGAGAUUUAAAGAUAAUAUUUGUUCCACCGAACAAACCGUGAUAUGAUAUCAGCAGAUGGAAUCAUGUUAUGACUGUAAUAAGUGCUAAAAAUAACCCUAUUCCGUUGAAAAUGUGCAGCCAUUGAGUGUUAAUAGAGCCCGACUGUCUCUGACCUUUUACCUGGAGGUCAUUUUAAGCUCUGAAAGAUGACUGAUGAACCAGCGACCUCGAGCAAGAAAAUACACUAACCCUAACCAAAAACUUCUGUAAUUGUGUAAUAAACCACUUUUAACUUG
This 1023-nucleotide long non-coding RNA is filed under the name Takifugu rubripes (torafugu). RNAcentral describes it as "lncRNA (ENSTRUG00000027201.1)". Lineage: Eukaryota; Metazoa; Chordata; Actinopteri; Tetraodontiformes; Tetraodontidae. The record is from RNAcentral.